Long non-coding RNA from Scatophagus argus, 1309 nucleotides. RefSeq lists it as uncharacterized. The transcript has 3 exons. Lineage: Eukaryota; Metazoa; Chordata; Actinopteri; Scatophagidae. The record is from RefSeq and is a predicted model, not a curated record.
GUUUUGAACGCCGCAGACUCCGCCCCCUCCGUGACGUCACUCCGCCUGAUAAACUGAAAUGUGUUAGUGGGUCAGACAUACGGGACCCCGCACACAAAAUGGUCGGGCUCUCGCUGGAAAUGGAAGGUUUUUGCUGCACCCGAUGGGAUCCUACAUGAACAUAAUAUUUGAAGAGUUUUGAGUGUUUCAGCACCCUACUGUGGUUGGCUCUCAGAUGUCAGAUUUCACCCCUGCCUGCCUUGAAAAGCUUUCGUUGAGAAUUUCCAGAGGGGGAGACUUCACAAGUUCACAUCAUUCAGGUUAGAGAAGAAAGAAAGUGGUGAAGAGAUGGGAGCAGGAUGUGCAGCCCGUAGCUGGACCAUCAUCAUCAAAGUGGGUCUGAAUAGUACAAAAACACAGCGUUCCUUUCUCUCUGCCUUCAUGUCAUUAUUAAAGGUUGUAGGCUGAACACCGAGAUAAUAACAUUGAGGCUGGCUCAAUCAAUUUCAUGGUUUGUUUAAUGGAAAAGUGGCAGGUUGUCCGAUUAAAUUGUGGAGUCAGUGUGUCUGAUGUGGCAUAAUGGAUGGAGAUAAACAGUGGAAGGUUAAAUCACUGAGCCACAUGUCUUAUUAAAUCCUGAGCAACAGGGAUCUGAAACACAUUUAAAUCCCUCCAUAAGACAGGCAAGUCAUCAGUGAGAACUCUCCUUCUUCUUUGUUUUGUUCAUUUGAUUGCCUUUCACAAGAAAAGUAAAUGAAAGCAAGUUGGAGAGCAGCAACAGCUUUUCUAAAUGCAAUAAUACAAAAUUUCAAAUCAGAAGUGUCUUGAUCGAUGUAGUUUCAUGUUGUGGGUAACCAAACAUUUGUACUCUUUGAUAUAUAAAUCACUAAAUGCCUUAAAUAAGUGGCUCGCAGUUUCAUGUUAUACUACCAAUUGUAUGCAGUGUGGGCUCUGUGCAUGAUGAUGCAUAUAUUUUCCAGUCUAUUACUCUUAUUCCUUUUUAUCAGAGCUCACUUUCUCCUUUUCACGGAGCUGAGAAAGUGUCACAUUUUCCUUUCUGGGGGGAAAACGUUGAACAGGUGACUCUUCCUUGAAUAUGCUGUAACAGGGAGCAGUUUUGAUCUGGUGUCGUCCUGGUCAGGCACCAGGCAGGAGGAGCAUCAAGCAUGAUGCUGUGGUAAUUUCUUUAGUCAACAGGGGGCAGUGUGGUCACACAGGAGCUGGGCUGCUGUCACUACCCUCUGCACAAAAGCGCUCGAGUACAAAGAGGGGAAAAUAUUAUAUAAUAAAAUCAUUGUGGACGCAGAGCAGCAGUCGCCGAGGAAUUUCU